This 1686-nucleotide long non-coding RNA is filed under the name Homo sapiens (human). Its description in RNAcentral is "long intergenic non-protein coding RNA 1672". Lineage: Eukaryota; Metazoa; Chordata; Mammalia; Primates; Hominidae. The record is from RNAcentral.
AGGGCUGUUGUUUUUGCCUGUCAUGGAGUUCCGUUCAUUCUGAACAUGUCACCGGGGACUUUGGAAUGUGUAUCCAUAACUCCCUGAUUUUCAACCACAUUCCAGCCUGCCUGACUCAUGAAGCGUGGAGCGACCCAGGAACAUCCCAGCUCCUCAUGUCCCACAUUCUUCAGGCUUUCUCUUAGUUUUGGCAUGUGCAUGUAAAUGUCAACAGCUGCUUCUGCUGACUCCUCGUCUCAAUUAAUCGCGGCUCUGUCUUCCGUUUGCUGAAGCCGAAGACCUCCCCGCUCUCUCAGAGCCCAUGUCUGGCACAUCAGCGAAUCUCGUUGGCACUGCCGUCAAACACAUCCAUCUAGGAUCUCCCCGCACUUCACGCCACCCACCGCGCUAGUCUGUGGAUCCCUGUUUCUCUCUUGGAUGUAGUAAUAGUCACAUAGCUGGACUUCUGCCCUGGCACUUCUUCAGCCCCUUGUUAGAGGAAUCCUGCUAAAUGUUGGAUGAUUUACCCCCCACCUCCCGCACCCCCCGCCACACACACAUAGGAGCUCCACUGGCUCCUCAUAACUCUCAGGGUGCCAGCCUGUCUCUGCCAUGACCCGAAAGCUCUCCGUCAUCUGUCUCCCGCCCCUCCCUCACUGACUCUAUCUGCCACCCUCUCCCUGUUGUCCACGCUGCCCCAGCCCCACAGGCCUCCUCCUGUUCCUCAGACUCCCCAGGGAUACUCCUGCCUCAGGGCCUUUGCCCUGGCUAUUCCCUCCAGCUACAAUGCUCUUCCUGAAUCUGCAUGAUUCGAUGCCCACUCCCCCAUUCUCAGCCUGUCCCCACAUCUCAGUGAGCCCUGCCCGGGCCACCCUGGAAAAUCUCAGCAUCCCAGGCUGGGCGUGGUGGCUCAUGCCUGUAAUCUCAGCACCUUGGGAGGCCAAGGCAGGCAGAUUGCUUGAGCUCAGGAGUUUGAGACCAGCCUGGCCAACAUGGCGAAACCCCAUCUCUCCUAAAAAUACAAAAAUUAGCUGAGUGUGGUGGUGCGUGCCUGUAAUCACAGCUACUUGGGAGGCUGAGGCAGCAGAAUCGAUUGAACCUGGGAGGCAGAGGUUUCAGUGAGCCGAGAUCAUGCCACUGCACUCCAGCCUGGGCGACAGAGCGAGACUCCAUCUAACACACACAAAAAAAGCACUUUUUUUUCAUCCUCCCAGCACUUCUUGUCCUCCUUGCUUCCCUUGUUUUUUUUUUUUUUCACAUUCACACAUAUGAUGAUCCAGCAUUCUACAUAUUUUAUUUAUCUUAUUUAUUUUCAGUCUUCUCCACUCAAAUGUAUGAUAUUUAAGGCAGGGGUUUUAAAAUGUCUUGUUCUUGGCCAGGCAUGGUGGCUCACACGUGUAAUUCUAGCACUUUGGGAGGCCGAGGCAGGUGGAGCACCUGAGGUCAGGAGUUCAAGACCAGCCUGGUCAACAUGGCGAAACCCCGUCUCUACUAAAAAUACGAAAUUAGCCAGGCGUGGUGGCGGACGCCUGUAAUCCCAGCUAUAAUCCCAGCUACUCAGGAGGCUGAAGCAGGAGAAUCGCUUGAACCUGGGAGGCAGAGCUUGCAGUGAGCCGAGAUCACGCCACUACACUGCAGCCUGGGUGACAGAGUGAGACUCCAUCUCAAAAAACAACAACAAAAUAAAUAAAUAAAUAAAAAUAAAAU